RNAcentral lists this non-coding RNA (111 nucleotides) under Paenibacillus wynnii. Its description in RNAcentral is "Guanine sequence". It matches the Rfam family "Purine riboswitch aptamer". From Rfam's summary of the family: Riboswitches are metabolite binding domains within certain messenger RNAs that serve as precision sensors for their corresponding targets. Allosteric rearrangement of mRNA structure is mediated by ligand binding, and this results in modulation of gene expression. A class of riboswitches that selectively recognises guanine and becomes saturated at concentrations as low as 5 nM. The record is from Rfam by way of RNAcentral. Lineage: Bacteria; Bacillati; Bacillota; Bacilli; Caryophanales; Paenibacillaceae.
UAUUUAAAUAAAUACCGUUCUCGUAUAACUCCGCAUUCAGCAGAUGCCUUAAGGGCGGAGGUUUCUACAGGAAGCCUACUCUUCCUAACUACGAUGAUAAGGAAAUGGAUC